AGAGAUUAAAUGUCCAGCAAACGACGGCAAUGUUGCCAGAUUCCUUUUAGCGGGAAUUUUAAAAUUUUAUAGCAGUUUGGUUUUAAAUUUGACAGUUCUGUUUUCUCAAGUCAAAAAUCUUAACCUUACUUUUACAAGUGAUUAAGAUUAUUAUUAUUUUAUUUACACGUAAAUUGAAACAAUAAAUAUUGUGCUUUGUCAUAAUUUAAAACUCAUUAUGUUGAAGUCUUUUCCAGUUGAUAAAAUUGCAAUUCAAAAACUUUUAGGUAGAUUUGCACUGUAUGGAUGGCACAGGAAGAGGAGAGAGAACAAGAGUACAAGAACAUGAAACAUCUUAUUAUGAAUGUAUAUGUAUGUGAUCCUCAAAAAAUUAUUUUUCAAAACAAGAUAGAGAAAGAGCUUUAAAAUCCCAAGGAUCCUGCAAAAUGUUUAUUUGGUGUACUAGUCGAAUAAUAGUAUCUAAAAAUAUUGAAACUGUUUUAAAACACAUUAUAGGCAUGAGGAUGAUAUAGAGCACUUACAUAAAUACCAAAAUCAGAUAAAUAUCUCUUCAAAGUUUAUUUUGAGACUUUCUUCAAAAAUCAAACUUCAGACUGUUCAGGAUAGCAUAAUAGCAUAGGAGGCGAAUUAAAAAGAAUUAAUUUACUUACAAGAAAAGAUAUCACAAACAUUAAACUCUCUUAUGGCAUUGAUUUGAAAGAUGGGUAUAUGUACAAGGCUGAUGCAACCAGUGUUUAUUUUUGGGUUGAAUGCUUACAGACUCAUGUCCAAUAUUAUUUUACAAACAACAGGGCAUACUAAUGGAUAUUCAUUCUGAAUUUAACAUUUAUGAUUUUUGUCUUAUUUUCCUUAAUACUGUGCCAAAUGGAAAUGUUAAUUAAGUUUGGCAAAUCCUUUAUCGCAAUCGAUGGAACUCAUGGGCUCAAUUCCUAUGACUUUGAACUUAUGACAGUAUUAGUAAAAGAUGAAUUUGGGAAUGGAUUUUGUACUGCUUUCUUAUUUUCAAAAUAGAAAAGAUACCUACUUUAACUUACCAAUUUUUUUAAAUACAUGUCUGUGUUGGUAUUAUAUGUAUAGUCAAAUGUUUUCAUAUCAGGCAUAAGUGACACCUUUUACAAUGCCUCGUCAAAUGUAAUGGGUAUUGCUCCUAAUAGACUGUUAAGUGCCUGGCACAUAGAUAGGGCAUGGUAAGUAAAUCUUAAUAAAAUAUCUGAUUCUGAAAAAAAUCCUAUUAUAUAUACAAGAUGUAUUAAUGAUGGUUCAGAGAGUAUUAAUAGCUUUUUGGGUAGACUUCUAAGUGAUGCAGAUACAUACAAUUUCAAUAAGUAUUUCCAAUAGAACUACUGCAGUAACAUCCAACAAUGGGCCUAUUGUUAUAGGAAGGGGUUGUGGAAUUAAUACCAAUAUGACCAUUCAAAAUUUUCAUAAAAUUUUGGAUAAAAGGGUAUCCAUUAGUUGUUAUCAGUUAAGUUUAAAACUUGGCACUCAUGGAGAGCUAUACUCUAUACCAUAAUAUAUAAUAGGUAUAUCUCAUAAUAUUACAUCUCAUAUUGUUCACUCCAGUAGUAAUAAGUGAGCCUGCAUACACAGAACCAUAAUAAUAUAUUAUAGUUUGUGUAUGCAGGCUCACUCAUUACAAUAGUGAGCAAUAGAAGAUAUAACAUAUUAUAGUAUAAGUCUCUGUGCAUGACCAGAUUAACAUGUUUGGUGCCCAUCUCGAACAAGCUCCACUUGGCUGGUACCACAUACUUAAAUCAUUUAUUUAGUUACACAGUACUACUCACAUAACUUAUGUGUCGUCAGUACCUUCCAUAAAACCUUCGUGAUGCUACUCAUACUUCAUGGCCACUGAAUGUGUUAAAGCUUGUUAAUGUAGGAGAGUUAUACUAAAAUAUAUAUCUUAUAUUAUAUUGUCUUAAAUAGAAAAAAUAUCUUAUUUAAAUUGUAUCCAUGUAAGUUUUGAUUUAAUGAAAUAAACUUUUAAUCAAAAAAGUGU
Long non-coding RNA from Diabrotica virgifera virgifera (western corn rootworm), 1996 nucleotides. RefSeq lists it as uncharacterized. The transcript is spliced from 3 exons. The record is from RefSeq and is a predicted model, not a curated record. NCBI's taxonomy places the organism in Eukaryota, Metazoa, Arthropoda, Insecta, Coleoptera, Chrysomelidae.